GAACCAAACCAGUAAUCCCUACUUCGACCAGCAAUCAUAGUGUGCAGCUUCAAUUAGCAGUACUGCACUCUAGACAUGCCCUGUUCCAUUGAUCAAACCACUGCGCGUGUCCGGUGACCACCUCGACAACACCUCGGCUUCACGUGGCCAGGCGGUUACGGUAUGACUCAAUCCCUAAGACUUGAUGUUCUAGCAUCCUCAUACAUUGGUGAAGCUCACCAAAAAGUCCGGUUGAUCUUUACAAUCCUAGUUUGAUCGGAACGCGGGUUUGAUGCCGCAUGAACUGCUCUGAUGUCAACCCACCAAAACUUUGUCGGUUCGAUGUCGAUUUUCGUAAGCAUCGUGUCGACCGUGUCUUGCUCGUACUCCCCGUUCCCUUAAUUUGAUGUGUCCGACACUCAAAUUGGCCAGGCAUAUACCACGAACUUGGAUUCCAUCGUGGGCGCGGUCAAGUCGCUCUGGGAGUUUGUGAGCCAAAUCCAUGCCCGUAAUUGUUUGGAUUAGGUUAAGAUUUGAUCUGGCCGCUGUCCGAAGACUGCUCGGGCUCUCCUCCGCCGUAGGAUCGCGGGGGGACGCGUUCGCGCCGCCGGCGACGUCGGGAACUCAAUUUGUAAAGGCAAGAAACAUAGAAGGGGCCAGAAGUAAAGUGUUAGUGACUCGAUGGGUGUUGAAGGGUUGUGCCCGGGUUGUGUUGGCCGCGGACAUGUCUCAGUAGUAGUUGGGGGACGCUGAAGAGCAGCGCCGACGUGGUCGUAGGCGCCAGGUCGCCGGAGUAGCGCGACGGGCAUCUGGUUCGAGUUCUUCUGAAGUUGGUUGUGAAGCCGGGUUGGAUGUGUUAAAUCAAGAUCUCUCUAAGUGAAGUUAGUUAUAGGAUUUUUAGUGUAGUUUUUGGGCUGUUUGGAAGCCUUUUUGACCUGAAAGCCUUGCAAGGUCCAAAAAUAGUUAUUAAAUCCUUACUUAAUUAUGGAACUAAGUGCUUUUGGGGCAGAGGCAUGUUGAACUAGUGAGAUCUUGACCCUUGGAUGAAGUUACUUAUGGAGUUUUAAGCUUUUGCUUGAGACCUUGGUUGGGGUAAUUCCCUGGUUUACCUAAGUGAUUUCAAAUUGGUCACUUUAAACGAGCAAUAAGAAAUAGGUAUAUUCUUGUUAUGUGCUUUAGUUGUAGUGUUUCUGUUCUCCACCUCUCCUUGUAAGAGUUUGCAUUACAUGGCAUUCAUUCUUAUAUAUACCUAUAUGGUUAUAUUUAGAACGCGAAGAAGAAGUGGAAGUCCCUGAAGAGAAGACAACACCACCUUUGGAGUCUCAGGCAGGGUCUCGUCUCUACUUUAACAUCUGCGAGUCCGAGCCUGACUCAUCUAUAAACAAAGGCAAGCCCCGGUGCAUGCAACCCCUUUCCUUGUGUUU
This 1403-nucleotide long non-coding RNA is filed under the name Zea mays. RNAcentral's name for it is "long non-coding RNA (ZMAY_LNC005811)". Lineage: Eukaryota; Viridiplantae; Streptophyta; Magnoliopsida; Poales; Poaceae. The record is from RNAcentral.